UUUAUUUUUUAAAAGUGACGGGCGAUAUGUGCAUGUUUGAUUUUCGUUUCAUAUUAAAAUUCUUUUAUAAUUUUAUUUUUAAAUCCUUAUUUUUUUUUUUAAUUCUUUUUGAUCUUUAAAUAUUUUUGUUGUAUUCCACUUUUUCUUUAGUAUAAUUUUUGUCUUGAUUAGUUUUGUUUUCAUUAUUAAACCAAAGAGAAAAUUUUUAUUUUAUUUUUUAAACAAUGAUAUAAAAAAUUUUAUUUUAAAGUUCAGUUUAUUGUGGGUUAUCAAUUAUAUAGCAGAAUCCUCUAAGAGAGUCUAACACCGCCAUUUUAUUUAGUUUUUUCUUUUUUAAAUACUUUCCUUUUUUAUAUUAAAA
This 361-nucleotide ribosomal RNA is filed under the name Diptilomiopus fortunus. Its description in RNAcentral is "partial 12S ribosomal RNA". Lineage: Eukaryota; Metazoa; Arthropoda; Arachnida; Trombidiformes; Diptilomiopidae. The record is from RNAcentral.